RNAcentral lists this unclassified non-coding RNA (339 nucleotides) under soil metagenome. RNAcentral's name for it is "partial contains 5.8S ribosomal RNA, internal transcribed spacer 2, and large subunit ribosomal RNA". The stretch from base 1 to 120 matches the Rfam family "5.8S ribosomal RNA", at positions 35 to 154 of the family's 154-position model. The record is from RNAcentral.
GAUGAAGAACGCAGCGAAAUGCGAUAAGUAAUGUGAAUUGCAGAAUUCAGUGAAUCAUCGAAUCUUUGAACGCACAUUGCGCCCGCCAGUAUUCUGGCGGGCAUGCCUGUCCGAGCGUCAUUUCAACCAUCAAGCCCCCGGGCUUGUGUUGGGGACCUGCGGCUGCCCGCAGGCCCUGAAAACCAGUGGCGGGCUCGCUGUCACACCGAGCGUAGUAGCAAUCACCUCGCUCAGGGCGUGCUGCGGGUUCCGGCCGUUAAACAGCCUUACAAAACCCAAGGUUGACCUCGGAUCAGGUAGGAAGACCAGCUGAACUUAAGCAUAUCAAUAAGCGGAGGA